RNAcentral lists this ribosomal RNA (443 nucleotides) under uncultured bacterium. RNAcentral describes it as "partial 16S ribosomal RNA". It matches the Rfam family "Bacterial small subunit ribosomal RNA", at positions 338 to 795 of the family's 1533-position model. The record is from RNAcentral.
CCUACGGGAGGCAGCAGUGGGGGAUAUUGGACAAUGGGGGGAACCCUGAUCCAGCGACGCCGCGUGAGUGAAGAAGUAUUUCGGUAUGUAAAGCUCUGUCAGCAGGGAAGAAAGAAAUGACGGUACCUGACCAAGAAGCCCCGGCUAACUACGUGCCAGCAGCCGCGGUAAUACGUAGGGGGCAAGCGUUAUCCGGAAUUACUGGGUGUAAAGGGAGCGUAGACGGUGAUGCAAGUCAGAAGUGAAAGCCCGGGGCUCAACUCCGGGACUGCUUUUGAAACUGUGUGACUGGAGUGCAGGAGAGGUAAGCGGAAUUCCUGGUGUAGCGGUGAAAUGCGUAGAUAUCAGGAGGAACACCAGUGGCGAAGGCGGCUUACUGGACUGUAACUGACGUUGAGGCUCGAAAGCGUGGGGAGCAAACAGGAUUAGAUACCCCGGUAGUC